Molecule: ribosomal RNA, 117 nt
Filed under: uncultured eukaryote
Lineage: Eukaryota
Description: partial small subunit ribosomal RNA
Rfam family: Bacterial small subunit ribosomal RNA
Source: RNAcentral
UUGGUUUCACCUGAAGACGGUGCGCUAACCCGCAAGGGAGGCAGCCGGCCACGGUAGGGUCAGCGACUGGGGUGAAGUCGUAACAAGGUAGCCGUAGGUGAACCUGCAGAAGGAUCA